AGUGGCGAACGGGUGAGUAACACGUGGGCAAUCUGCCCUGCACUCUGGGACAAGCCCUGGAAACGGGGUCUAAUACCGGAUACUGAUCCUCGCAGGCAUCUGCGAGGUUCGAAAGCUCCGGCGGUGCAGGAUGAGCCCGCGGCCUAUCAGCUAGUUGGUGAGGUAACGGCUCACCAAGGCGACGACGGGUAGCCGGCCUGAGAGGGCGACCGGCCACACUGGGACUGAGACACGGCCCAGACUCCUACGGGAGGCAGCAGUGGGGAAUAUUGCACAAUGGGCGAAAGCCUGAUGCAGCGACGCCGCGUGAGGGAUGACGGCCUUCGGGUUGUAAACCUCUUUCAGCAGGGAAGAAGCGAAAGUGACGGUACCUGCAGAAGAAGCGCCGGCUAACUACGUGCCAGCAGCCGCGGUAAUACGUAGGGCGCAAGCGUUGUCCGGAAUUAUUGGGCGUAAAGAGCUCGUAGGCGGCUUGUCACGUCGGUUGUGAAAGCCCGGGGCUUAACCCCGGGUCUGCAGUCGAUACGGGCAGGCUAGAGUUCGGUAGGGGAGAUCGGAAUUCCUGGUGUAGCGGUGAAAUGCGCAGAUAUCAGGAGGAACACCGGUGGCGAAGGCGGAUCUCUGGGCCGAUACUGACGCUGAGGAGCGAA
RNAcentral lists this ribosomal RNA (650 nucleotides) under Streptomyces sp. RNAcentral's name for it is "bacterial SSU rRNA". It matches the Rfam family "Bacterial small subunit ribosomal RNA", at positions 94 to 757 of the family's 1533-position model. Lineage: Bacteria; Bacillati; Actinomycetota; Actinomycetes; Kitasatosporales; Streptomycetaceae. The record is from RNAcentral.